GAUACACAGAGGCAGGAGGAGAA
RNAcentral lists this microRNA (23 nucleotides) under Rattus norvegicus (Norway rat). RNAcentral describes it as "rno-miR-6216". Lineage: Eukaryota; Metazoa; Chordata; Mammalia; Rodentia; Muridae. The record is from miRBase by way of RNAcentral.